AUGGCAAAAAGCCCAGACGCAUCGGUCGAGAGGUUUGCAGACGGUUUUAGUGACGGAUGCCCUAACCUGUCCAUCGCGGAAAAACAUUCUUUUAUUUACUGUUAUUUGCAAGGGAUUCAUGAUAUUAUUAAAAAAAGCAUGCAAAGAAUAUCUAGCUGGAGAAACAAUUUUGGAGCAUUUGUUGUGUCUCCCAGAACAGGACGUGCAUGUCCUAGGUCUACAAAACUUGCGAGAAACCAUGACGACUGCUGCUUGGUACUUGUGUAUGAACGACGGAAACUUAGGCAUGGUGAACAAACACAAAGUGUGACACAAAUCUACCUUGCAAUCAGAUGGCUGGCUGCAAACUUUAUUUUCGCUUGCAGUCCAAAAGCAAAAAUAUGCAAAAACAGCUUGGACGAAACCCAGGACGGGUUAUAUGAAAUUAAAUGUUGA
Molecule: ribosomal RNA, 435 nt
Filed under: Triticum aestivum (bread wheat)
Lineage: Eukaryota; Viridiplantae; Streptophyta; Magnoliopsida; Poales; Poaceae
Description: partial small subunit ribosomal RNA
Source: RNAcentral